Molecule: non-coding RNA, 915 nt
Organism: Salvelinus sp. IW2-2015
Lineage: Eukaryota; Metazoa; Chordata; Actinopteri; Salmoniformes; Salmonidae
Source: RefSeq, a predicted model, not a curated record
CCUCACUGAGAAGCUAGUUCCCCUCCCGGAGGAGUUGGAUGUCCUCAGUGGGGAGAUGUCGGAUUUAACUCAAGACCAGGAGUGCUCAAGUACUAUUUGAGACGGCCCGGUGGCACACAUUUCCUAGGUGACAAAGGAUCGGAUGGAUAACCAGCGUAGUAUCAUCUCCCCACCUCACAACCCCAUGAAAACUGUUCACACCCCUCUUGUUGGCCAAGAGAACAUGUUGCUGUUUUAAAGCUAUUUUCCUGCAAUUCUACACAUUUUGCUUGGGGCAGAGAUUUAUUUAGCUUUUUUAUAUCUCAUUUCCUGCAAUUCUCCAGUCUUCCAUGUCUUAUGUGUGUUUAUAUGAUACCAGAGGUCGAAGGACGACCUAGUAAAAAAAAAAGAGCCCGUUCUGCUCCUUCACUGAGAAACUCUCCAUUCUUCAGCCCUGGUAUUAUUGAUAGUAUCUCAGUGGUCAUCUGUCCUGUAGAUGUCACUGACUGACUGUUUUUAAAACAUACAAGGCAGGUAUAAACAGUCAGUAAAGGGAUGUAAUAGGAGAGAGUUCAUGUACAUGAGUUCUCAGAUAUCCUAUCAAUCUUUUUUGUUGUAGAGUGGGCCAGUUUAUUGUUUAUUGGAUAGGACAGAGAGGUAAAGGUAGGAAUGUUGAAAGAGCAAUGGGUUGGAUCUGAACCCAUUCUGGUACUGGACCAUCCCAGACCACUGAUUUCUUCUCAAUGUUUGACAAAUCUUUAUGUCUUUCACCCGUCCCUUGGACUGUUCUGUCUUGAGGAGAAUGUGCUAUAUAAUUUUUAUUCUGUAUUUUCUAACAGUAUUUGUUCUGUAUCCAUUCUGCUGUGUGCUUCUAUAUUUAGAUAAGAAUGUAGCAGCAACACAAUUAUUUUUUUAGAAAUGUAUAAUUUGAUUAUA